RNAcentral lists this ribosomal RNA (269 nucleotides) under uncultured bacterium. RNAcentral describes it as "partial 16S ribosomal RNA". It matches the Rfam family "Bacterial small subunit ribosomal RNA", at positions 202 to 496 of the family's 1533-position model. The record is from RNAcentral.
UGUGGCAGCAUCACCCUCUCAGGUCGGCUACAUGCAUACGUUGCCUUGGUAAGCAUUCCAAUUCAACCUAAGCAUAAUCCGACCGAGUACAUCAUGUGCCACACUGGAACUGAGACACGGUCCAGACUCCUACGGAUGCAUGCAGUGGGGAAUAUUGCACAAUGGGCGAAAGCCUGAUGCAGCAACGCCGCGUGAGCAUGAAGGCCUUCGGGUCGUAAAGCUCUGUCCUCAAGGAAGAUAAUGUACGGUACUUGAGGAGGAAGCCCCGG